AUAGCGUAUAUUAAAGUUGUUGCAGUUAAAAAGCUCGUAGUUGGAUUUCUGAUCGACCUCCAAAGUCCGCUGUUGCGUGUGCUGCGGAGAUCGGUCAUCCUUCUGUUAACGUUUCUGAUAUUCACUUAUCGGUCUCGGGCUCAGAUAUUUUACCUUGAGAAAAUUAGAGUGUUCCAGGCAGGCUUGCGCCGGAAUACAUUAGCAUGGAAUAAUAGAAUAGGACUUUAGUCUCCUUUGUUGGUUUGAGGGACUGAAGUAAUGAUUAAUAGGGAUAGUUGGGGGCAUUAGUAUUUAAUUGUCAGAGGUGAAAUUCUCGGAUUUGUUAAAGACUAACUUAUG
RNAcentral lists this ribosomal RNA (339 nucleotides) under uncultured eukaryote. RNAcentral's name for it is "SSU rRNA". It matches the Rfam family "Eukaryotic small subunit ribosomal RNA", at positions 594 to 945 of the family's 1831-position model. The record is from RNAcentral.